This 164-nucleotide ribosomal RNA is filed under the name Brickellia wislizeni. RNAcentral's name for it is "5.8S ribosomal RNA". It matches the Rfam family "5.8S ribosomal RNA". Rfam says of the family: 5.8S ribosomal RNA (5.8S rRNA) is a component of the large subunit of the eukaryotic ribosome. It is transcribed by RNA polymerase I as part of the 45S precursor that also contains 18S and 28S rRNA. Lineage: Eukaryota; Viridiplantae; Streptophyta; Magnoliopsida; Asterales; Asteraceae. The record is from RNAcentral.
UAAAUGACUCUCGGCAACGGAUAUCUCGGCUCACGCAUCGAUGAAGAACGUAGCAAAAUGCGAUACUUGGUGUGAAUUGCAGAAUCCCGUGAACCAUCGAGUUUUUGAACGCAAGUUGCGCCCGAAGCCAUCUGGUUGAGGGCACGUCUGCCUGGGCGUCCCGC